UGAAAGUACACGAGGAGCGGCAGCGUUUCAGCCGCCGCAACCGGCCGAUAUACCCGCGCGUUCAACUCGCGACCUUGCAGC
This 81-nucleotide transfer RNA is filed under the name Caballeronia humi. Its description in RNAcentral is "tRNA-Sec". The record is from RNAcentral. Lineage: Bacteria; Pseudomonadati; Pseudomonadota; Betaproteobacteria; Burkholderiales; Burkholderiaceae.